CACUCCCCAGCCUCCAGCGCCCGAAAUUCGAGGACCGUUGCCCACACGCCACCGUUUGCCCCGGCGGCCGAGGCGGCAUGUGCAGACACGUCCUGGUCAGCACGCACGCACGGAGGAAUACUCCCCUCGGGGUCCCGGGGGCAAAGCCUUCCCCAGCCAGGACAAACUCCAGCGUGGGCUCCGGCGGUGACUUCCCCGUGCCCCACCAGCACCAGGGCCAGAACACGCGCACCCCGAAGUCACCGGUGCCCCAGUCCACACCUAGGCACGCGCACGCGGCUCGGGCUCCUCCAGGUGAGUCCCUCCUGGUCACACUCCCGCGUGUCCUUGUCCCUUUGCACGCUGAGUCCAGUGCACGCCACCCACGCACGCACGCGUCCUCCGCUGUCCGGGUGCGCGCACCCCAAGGUCCCGGCCUGCGUGAAGGAGAGGUGCAGGCAGCCCCAACCUGGGCACUUAGUCGCCUCCCAGUGCCCCCGCCUGUCAGAGGUCAGCGCUGCCCCACCAGACUUGGGGGCUGCUCUCCAAGCACCCCCGACGGGGCUGAUUCUCGGGUUGAUCUUCAGUUCAAAAGCUGGGGGCCCUUUCCGGUCGUCCCUCCGCGGCGUUUUGGGUCACCCUUCUGCCCCCUCUAGUUUCCCAGGGUGACUCUCCCUCUCCCCGGCCCCACGGAACAGGAAGACACCGCGGGCAGGCGACCUUUGCGAAGGCUGGCCCCGGGACCCACCCUUUCCGAGGCGUGCUGCUGCGCCUGAGUUUGGGGCAGACUUUCCCGAAGCUCCCAUCCCUUCCCGCGAGCCUGCUGCCUCGGGCUUCCAGUUCGGGGUCCUUCAAGCUGGUUUUUCCCGGGUCAGGCCACGUACCCCUCGGACAUGCAACUCUGCGAAAUGCCUUUUAUUUUUAAGUAAGAGUGGGAGAGAAGAAUGCCUAGGGCAGAUUCCCCUCCACCCCCCGAAUUUGCUGACGUAUCCUUUGAGCCCAGAGCAGGGCCUGGCACCCCGGGGGCGCUCACCAAAUAUCUGCAGCACCUUUAUUCCGCGUGCUCCCGCUGGACGGCGGAAGUGGAACGUGGACCGGCACUGGCUCCUGGUGGUGUCUUGUGGAACUGUCGCCGAGGUUCUUCCGUAGCGCGCAGAUUCGGCCUUCUGAGCCUCAGUGUUCUCUCCUGUAAAACAGAGCUCGUUUUAGUAGUACAUGCCUAUCCGGGUAAACAAACGAGACCUGAGAAGGGCUUUACACAAGUUCUGGCACUUGUAAAAUCCUUAGUAGGAGCUACUAAUAUUGGAAUUACAGUUACAUUCCUUUCCCCGGCUUGUUUUUAGAGAGACCUUUGAUCAUAAUGGAUGACGAUAUUUUGGAAGGAAGGAGUGAAAAUGAAGGAGGAUUCUGGUGCUUGCUGCUUUCUGCUCACCCUGCCAUGGACUGUUUCUCCUCUGUGAUAGCCCCUCUGCCAUGCUGCCCUUCCUUGGAGCCAGAUUAGUGACUAAACUUCUACAAAUGACCUUUCAGGAGCCUCUUUAUUCUGCAAGUAAUUACCUCAUAUCCCAAAUGGCUUUCCAGCUGUCCAUCCAUCUCCACAAAUCAUCUUGGCAUCACAGGGGUCUUUGGUUGGUGCCACUUCUGAAACAUCAACCGACUCCAUGGAGAAACUGGAUGAAAUGGUGGAAUCCAGACAUCUGAUCUAUUUGAAGUGCCCUUUGAAUUGCCUUAGUCCUCCAAGUGUGGCCUGCGGAACCUCCCUGGGAUCUGCAAGAUGAGAACUGUUUUAAGGACAGCUCUAAGGCCUCGGUGUCCCUUCUCACCAGCAUGGAGGCAGAGUAGCUUCCAGCAGCUUCCAGAUCCAUGGUACUGCAACAGGCUGAGCAGCCGCAGAUGUGAGGCACCGCCGUCUUCUCUUACAGCAGACAUUAUGGAGACUUUCAAACCCUGCAAAGUAUCUCUGUGCUUCUCACUAAUUGCUUUUUGUUUUGGAAAAUACAGGUUUUUUCAUAAAAGGGUUUAUGUUAAUAUAUAAUGGGAUUAUUAUUGUUUUUAAAUGAAUCUUUCAAAAAAUUCUUGGUUUUAUUUUAAAAGAAGGUAAAUAUUGCUAUUUGUCUACAGAUAUUAUCUCCUCGAAGUUCUUUUAAGUUAAGACAAUAUCACUUACCCCCUACCAGGUGGUGGUUCUGUUGGCGGUAGGACAUAAAGUAUCUUUCUUGAGGUGCUCCUGCUCCUCCUUUUCUGUCUUUGCGUCUUUUAUAUUUUUCUUUUCUCUCUUUUUACAGUGCUGGGGCUUGAACUCAGGGCUUGAUGCUGGUUUCAUUAUGUUGCCCAGGCUGGCCUUAAGCUUCUGGAUAUAAACAAUCCUCCUGCCUCAGCCUCCCCAGUAGCUGGCCACAGGUGUGUGCCACCAUACCUGGGUAUUAUUUAUUAAUUUUAAAGCAUAAAAGGUUUCCAAGACCAUCCAUUUUGAGAACCAUUAAAUUAUACUUAUCUACUGGAAUCAUCUCUCCAGAAAGAACAACAAAUAUUUAUACCGCAUUUAGAGUUUACCAGGUACUGUUCUAAACAGCAUAAACUCUCAUGAUUCUCUUGGCAACCCCAUGAGGUGUGCCGUUUCCCUGUUUUGUAGAAGUGGAAGUUGAGGCACAGAAAGGAAAUGAUCAGAAAGCCUCCCGCAUUCAGAUGUUCCCCAAGAGGGACAGGCUGGGCCUUCGUGUGAAGAACAGAAUGUUCCUGGUGGGUGAGCCUUGUGCCUGCAAAGCCCACUGCUGGGCCAAGGGCUGAGCUCCUCCUCCCUUUCCUUCACCUUCUCCUCCUUUUCUUCCUCCCCCUUCUCCUCCCCUUCUCCUCCCCCUUCCCUCCCCCUCCCUGUCUUCUCCCCCUCCCCCUUCCCCUUCCCCUUCUCCUCUGUCUUCAUCCUUCUCUGCUCCGGCUUGACCCAGUCAACUGGGAAAGAUUGCACCAGACAGGCAAGCGGAGGUAGAAGCUGAGGUGGGACUGGGAGCCUGAGGUGACUUGGUUACAUUAAGCCCCUGGGACAGGGGACAAUUAUAUAAUGGCGGACAGGAGGGCAAGGGUGACAGAGCAAGCCAAGGCAAGGGAUGAACCCUGGAGUUGGAGGGAAGAAAAGCAGGACAGAGCAGAGGAAAUGUGUCCAUCACCAGCUGGGCAGCUGCCAUGCAGGAGCAAACUCAUCCCUCCUCUGGUGUUCCUGUCCCUGCGGGCUUCAUCCUCGACUCUCCUGGCUCCGCUGAGUACAGAUGAUUCUUGAAGUCCUGGUAUCUUAGCAUCAAACUCCAUUACUGUCUAAUUAACAGGACCCAGUUUCUUGCUUGGAGGCAAGAAUCCCAAAUACGCCCAGGCCUUUGCUGCCCCAGUAGCAGAAUGGCCAGGGGUCACACAGUAGAUGCACAGUGCAGAGGCCAGAACCCGGUGGAUACUGAUGCAUUUUCUUGUGGUUCUUACUGUCACGCUUUGUCUACCCGAAGGCCACUUCUGUGGGCAGGAUGAAUUUGAGGACCUCAUUUCUUCUGCUGGGACUCUGACCUCGUUCAACAUCACUGGGAAUGAUAGUGGACAGGGCACUGUCCACUACAUCCUAUCUAGAAACAAUAAAAUAAGAAAUCUUAAAAUUCCAAUGUAUAGAGUCUGUGUUUUAUAUAUCUGUUCAUCAGCUGAUGGGCAUCUCAUUGCUUUCGCUUUGAACUAUAGUGAACAAUGCUGCUAUAACCGUUUGUGUACAAUUCUGUGGGGCCCUAUAUUACCAUUUGGGGGGGAUAGAUACUUAGGAUGGAAUGGCUGUUUAUAUGGUAAAAGUAUGAUGGGUAAGAAACUGUCCACCUACUCUAAAAGUUGUUUGUUUGUUUGUUUGUUUGUUUGUUUUAGGGACAGGGUCUUGUUAUACUCCCCACACUGGCCUUGAAUCCAGGGCUCAAGGGAUCCUCCUGCCUCAGCCUCUCAAGUAGCUGGGACUGUAGGUCUGUGCUACCUACCAUGCCUGGAUUAGAAGUGUUUGUCAGGCUGGGCACAGUGGCA
Molecule: long non-coding RNA, 4017 nt
Organism: Heterocephalus glaber (naked mole-rat)
Lineage: Eukaryota; Metazoa; Chordata; Mammalia; Rodentia; Bathyergidae
Source: Ensembl